AUACGGAAGGUCCGGGCGUUAUCCGGAUUUAUUGGGUUUAAAGGGAGCGCAGGCGGCACUUCAAGCGUGACGUUAAAUUUCGGGGCUCACCCCCGUUGUGCGUCGCGAACUGUUGUGCUUGAGUAGGCGGCAGGGGGGCGGAAUUCGCGGUGUAGCGGUGAAAUGCUUAGAUAUCGCGAGGAACUCCGAUAGCGCAGGCAGCCUCCCGUUGCUUUACUGACGCUCAUGCUCGAAGGUGCGGGUAUCGAACAGGAUUAGAUACCCUGGUAGUCCGCACUGUAAACGAUGGAUGCCCGCUGUUGGGCCUUUUGGGUUCAGUGGCCAAGAGAAAUCGUUAAGCAUCCCACCUGGGGAGUACGCCGGCAACGGUGAAACUCAAAUGAAUUGACGGGG
Molecule: ribosomal RNA, 393 nt
Filed under: uncultured bacterium
Lineage: Bacteria
Description: partial 16S ribosomal RNA
Rfam family: Bacterial small subunit ribosomal RNA
Source: RNAcentral